GAUGAACGCUGGCGGCGUGCCUAAUACAUGCAAGUCGAGCGAACAGACGAGGAGCUUGCUCCUCUGACGUUAGCGGCGGACGGGUGAGUCACACGUGGAUCACCUACCUAUAAGACUGGGAUCACUUCGGGACACCGGCUCUAAUACCGUAUAAUCUCUUGAACCGCAUGGUUCAAUAGUGAAAGUCGGUUUUGCUGUCACUUAUCGAUGCAUCCGCGCCGCAUUAGCUAGUUGGUAAGGUAACGGCUUUUCAAGGCGACGAUGCGUAGCCGAACUGAGAGAGGGAUCGGCCACACUGGAGCGUAGACGCGGUCAAGACGACUGCGAGAGGGAGCAGAAGGGAAUCGGACGCAAUGGGCGGAAGCAUGACGGAGCAGGGCCGAGUGAGAGAUGAAAAUCUUGGGAGCGUGAAACUCGGUUAUGGGGGAAAAACAAAUGUGGAAGGAGAUAUGCACGGAGUGACGGUACCUGGUCAGAAAGCAACGGCUAACUACGUG
Molecule: ribosomal RNA, 497 nt
Filed under: uncultured bacterium
Lineage: Bacteria
Description: partial 16S ribosomal RNA
Rfam family: Bacterial small subunit ribosomal RNA
Source: RNAcentral